CCCUAAGCGGACAUGGUUUAUUUAUUUUUUUACCCCUGUUUUCUUGAGAUCACGAGAAAACUGUCUCGUAAUCCUGAGAAAGCAGGGGUAAAAAAAAUAAUAAUAAUAACCAUGUUCGCUUUGGG
This is a non-coding RNA of Xyrichtys novacula (pearly razorfish), 125 nucleotides long. The record is from the annotation of a GenBank genome assembly. NCBI's taxonomy places the organism in Eukaryota, Metazoa, Chordata, Actinopteri, Labriformes, Labridae.